Molecule: ribosomal RNA, 454 nt
Filed under: uncultured microorganism
Description: bacterial SSU rRNA
Rfam family: Archaeal small subunit ribosomal RNA
Source: RNAcentral
GCGCACCAGGCGCGAAUACUCCGCAAUGCCCGAAAGGGUGACGGGGGAGUUCCAAGUGCCUACGCUUAGCGUAGGCUGUUCAGGUGCCUAAAAAGACACCUGGAGGAAGGGCGUGGGUAAGACGGGUGCCAGCCGCCGCGGUAAUACCGCAGCCCGAGUGGUAGUCGCUUUUAUUGGGCCUAAAGCGUCCGUAGCCGGUCUGGUAAAUGCCUGGGUAAAUCGUGGGGCUUAACCUCACGAAUUCCGGGUAGACUGCCAGACUUGGGACCGGUUGAGGGAGAGGGUACUCCAGGGGUAGGGGUGAAAUCAGCAAGGUAAGCUGAUGUAACCUGCCUUGCAAGUCACAAUCCUGUAAUCCUUGGAGGACCACCGGUGGCGAAAGCGCUCUCCUAGGACGGGUCCGACGGUGAGGGACGAAAGCCAGGGGAGCAAACCGGAUUAGAUACCGCGUAGU